This 465-nucleotide ribosomal RNA is filed under the name uncultured beta proteobacterium. RNAcentral describes it as "bacterial SSU rRNA". It matches the Rfam family "Bacterial small subunit ribosomal RNA", at positions 338 to 795 of the family's 1533-position model. Lineage: Bacteria; Pseudomonadati; Pseudomonadota; Betaproteobacteria. The record is from RNAcentral.
CCUACGGGGGGCAGCAGUGGGGAAUUUUGGACAAUGGGCGCAAGCCUGAUCCAGCAAUGCCGCGUGAGUGAAGAAGGCCUUCGGGUUGUAAAGCUCUUUCAGUUGAGAAGAAAAAGUCGUGACUAAUAAUCAUGAUUCAUGACGGUAUCAACAGAAGAAGCACCGGCUAACUACGUGCCAGCAGCCGCGGUAAUACGUAGGGUGCAAGCGUUAAUCGGAAUUACUGGGCGUAAAGGGUGCGCAGGCGGUUCUGUAAGUCAGAUGUGAAAUCCCCGGGCUUAACCUGGGAACUGCGUUUGAAACUGCAGAGCUAGAGUGCAGCAGAGGGAGGUGGAAUUCCAUGUGUAGCAGUGAAAUGCGUAGAGAUAUGGAAGAACAUCGAUGGCGAAGGCAACCUCCUGGGCUAGCACUGACGCUCAUGCACGAAAGCGUGGGGAGCAAACAGGCUUAGAUACCCUAGUAGUC